UACGUAGGGUGCAAGCGUUGUCCGGAAUUAUUGGGCGUAAAGAGCUCGUAGGCGGUUUGUCGCGUCUGCUGUGAAAACUCGGGGCUUAACCCCGGGUCUGCAGUGGAUACGGGCAGGCUAGAGGUAGGUAGGGGAGAAUGGAAUUCCCGGUGUAGCGGUGAAAUGCGCAGAUAUCGGGAGGAACACCGGUGGCGAAGGCGGUUCUCUGGGCCUUACCUGACGCUGAGGAGCGAAAGCGUGGGGAGCGAACAGG
RNAcentral lists this ribosomal RNA (253 nucleotides) under uncultured bacterium. Its description in RNAcentral is "partial 16S ribosomal RNA". It matches the Rfam family "Bacterial small subunit ribosomal RNA", at positions 524 to 776 of the family's 1533-position model. The record is from RNAcentral.